UACGUAGGUGGCAAGCGUUGUCCGGAAUUACUGGGUGUAAAGGGAGCGUAGGCGGGGAGACAAGUUGAAUGUCUAAACUAUCGGCUUAACUGAUAGUCGCGUUCAAAACUAUCACUCUUGAGUGCAGUAGAGGUAGGCGGAAUUCCUAGUGUAGCGGUGAAAUGCGUAGAUAUUAGGAGGAACACCAGUGGCGAAGGCGGCCUACUGGGCUGUAACUGACGCUGAGGCUCGAAAGCGUGGGUAGCAAACAGG
Molecule: ribosomal RNA, 252 nt
Filed under: Negativibacillus massiliensis
Lineage: Bacteria; Bacillati; Bacillota
Description: partial 16S ribosomal RNA
Rfam family: Bacterial small subunit ribosomal RNA
Source: RNAcentral